AACGAACGCUGGCGGCAUGCUUAACACAUGCAAGUCGAACGGAUUUAUAGCGCAAGUUAUGAAUCAGUGGCAGACGGGUGAGUAACGCGUGGGAACGUACCUUUUGGUUUGGAAUAACUAUGGGAAACUAUAGCUAAUACCGAAUACGCCCUAAGGGGGAAAGAUUUAUUGCCGAGAGAGCGGCCCGCGUUAGAUUAGGUAGUUGGUGGGGUAAAGGCCUACCAAGCCGAUGAUCUAUAGCUGGUCUGAGAGGAUGAUCAGCCACACUGGGACUGGGACACGGCCCAGACUCCUACGGGAGGCAGCAGUGGGGAAUAUUGGACAAUGGGGGCAACCCUGAUCCAGCAAUGCCGCGUGAGUGAAGAAGGCCUUCGGGUUGUAAAGCUCUUUUAUCAGGGACGAUGAUGACGGUACCUGAGGAAUAAGCUCCGGCUAACUUCGUGCCAGCAGCCGCGGUAA
RNAcentral lists this ribosomal RNA (459 nucleotides) under uncultured bacterium. Its description in RNAcentral is "partial 16S ribosomal RNA". It matches the Rfam family "Bacterial small subunit ribosomal RNA", at positions 29 to 523 of the family's 1533-position model. The record is from RNAcentral.